RNAcentral lists this ribosomal RNA (269 nucleotides) under uncultured prokaryote. RNAcentral's name for it is "partial 16S ribosomal RNA". It matches the Rfam family "Bacterial small subunit ribosomal RNA", at positions 524 to 792 of the family's 1533-position model. The record is from RNAcentral.
UACGGAGGGUCCAAGCGUUAUCCGGAUUUAUUGGGUUUAAAGGGUGCGUAGGCGGUUUGAUAAGUUAGAGGUGAAAGCCCGUAGCUCAACUACGGAACUGCCUCUGAUACUGUCAGGCUAGAGAAUGGUUGCUGUGGGCGGAAUGUGUGGUGUAGCGGUGAAAUGCUUAGAUAUGACGCAGAACUCCGAUUGCUAAGGCAGCCUACUAAGCCAUAACUGACGCUCAAGCACGAAGGCGUGGGGAUCAAACAGGAUUAGAUACCCCGGUA